GAUGAAUGCUGGCGGCGUGCCUAAUACAUGCAAGUCGAGCGAACGGACGAGAAGCUUGCUUCUCUGAUGUUAGCGGCGGACGGGUGAGUAACACGUGGAUAACCUACCUAUAAGACUGGGAUAACUUCGGGAAACCGGAGCUAAUACCGGAUAAUAUUUUGAACCGCAUGGUUCAAAGGUGAAAGACGGUCUUGCUGUCACUUAUAGAUGGAUUCGCGCUGCAUUAGCUAGUUGGUAAGGUAACGGCUUACCAAGGCAACGAUGCAUAGCCGACCUGAGAGGGGGAUCGGCCACACUGGAACGGAGACACGGUCCAGACUCCUGCGGGAGGCAGCAGUAGGGAAUCUUCCGCAAUGGGCGAAAGCCUGACGGGGCAACGCCGCGUGAGUGAUGAAGGUCUUCGGAUCGUAAGACUCUGUUAUUAGGGAAGAACAGAUGUGUAAGUAACUGUGCACAUCUUGACGGUACCUAAUCAGAAAGCCACGGCUAACUACGUG
RNAcentral lists this ribosomal RNA (497 nucleotides) under uncultured bacterium. Its description in RNAcentral is "partial 16S ribosomal RNA". It matches the Rfam family "Bacterial small subunit ribosomal RNA", at positions 28 to 507 of the family's 1533-position model. The record is from RNAcentral.